RNAcentral lists this ribosomal RNA (253 nucleotides) under uncultured bacterium. RNAcentral describes it as "partial 16S ribosomal RNA". It matches the Rfam family "Bacterial small subunit ribosomal RNA", at positions 524 to 776 of the family's 1533-position model. The record is from RNAcentral.
UACGGAUGGGGCGAGCGUUGUUCGGAAUCAUUGGGCGUAAAGGGCGCGUAGGUGGUUCUGUAUGUCUACCGUGAAAGCGUACGGCUCAACCGUAUUUUGUCGGUAGAAACUGCAGGACUUGAGGCUGGGAGGGGCUGGUGGAAUUCCCUGUGUAGCGGUGAAAUGCGUAGAGAUAGGGGAGAACACUCGUGGCGAAGGCGGCCAGCUAGACCAGUUCUGACACUGAGGCGCGCCAGCGUGGGGAGCAAACAGG